AGGAUGAACGCUGGCGGCGUGCCUAAUACAUGCAAGUCGAACGGUGUACCGCAAGGUACAUAGUGGCGAACGGGUGAGUAACGCGUUGGUGACCUGCCCCGAAGAUUGGGAUACCAGUUCGAAAGGACUGCUAAUACCGGAUACCGUUAUUGAGAUUAGAGGCUUGAUAACGAAAGGUUUCGAUCGCUUCGGGAGGGGCCUGCGUCCCAUCAGCUAGUUGGUAAGGUAACGGCUUACCAAGGCGAUGACGGGUAGGGGACCUGAGAGGGUGGCCCCCCACAAUGGAACUGAAACACGGUCCAUACACCUACGGGUGGCAGCAGUAGGGAAUAUUGCAAAAUGGGCGAAAGCCUGAUGCAGCAACGCCGCGUGGACGAUGAAGGCCUUCGGGUCGUAAAGUCCUUUUUGAGGGGAUGAGGAAGGACAGUACCCUCAGAAUAAGCCUCGGCUAACUACGUGCCAGCAGCCGCGGUAAAACGUAGGAGGCGAGCGUUAUCCGGAUUUACUGGGCGUAAAGCGCGUGCAGGCGGACUGGAAAGUUGGAUGUGAAAGCUCCUGGCUUAACUGGGAGAGGUCGUUCAAAACUACCAGACUAGAGGGCGAUAGAGGGAAGCGGAAUUCCGGGUGUAGUGGUGAAAUGCGUAGAUAUCCGGAGGAACACCAGUGGCGAAAGCGGCUUCCUGGGUCGUCUCUGACGCUCAGACGCGAAAGCUAGGGUAGCAAACGGGAUUAGAGACCCCGGUAGUCCUAGCUGUAAACGAUGUAGACUUGGCGUAGGAGGGUUUAAAUCCUUCUGUGCCGUAGCAAACGCGAUAAGUCUACCGCCUGGGGACUACGGCCGNCAGGGUAA
Molecule: ribosomal RNA, 850 nt
Filed under: uncultured bacterium
Lineage: Bacteria
Description: bacterial SSU rRNA
Rfam family: Bacterial small subunit ribosomal RNA
Source: RNAcentral